This 1016-nucleotide ribosomal RNA is filed under the name uncultured bacterium. Its description in RNAcentral is "bacterial SSU rRNA". It matches the Rfam family "Bacterial small subunit ribosomal RNA", at positions 357 to 1376 of the family's 1533-position model. The record is from RNAcentral.
AGGAAUAUUGGUCAAUGGGCGGGAGCCUGAACCAGCCAAGUAGCGUGAAGGAUGACGGCCCUACGGGUUGUAAACUUCUUUUAUAAGGGAAUAAAGUUCGCCACGUGUGGUGUUUUGUAUGUACCUUAUGAAUAAGCAUCGGCUAAUUCCGUGCCAGCAGCCGCGGUAAUACGGAAGAUGCGAGCGUUAUCCGGAUUUAUUGGGUUUAAAGGGAGCGUAGGCGGGUUGUUAAGUCAGUUGCGAAAGUUUGCGGCUCAACCGUAAAAUUGCAGUUGAUACUGGCGACCUUGAGUGCAACAGAGGUAGGCGGAAUUCGUGGUGUAGCGGUGAAAUGCUUAGAUAUCACGAAGAACUCCGAUUGCGAAGGCAGCUUACUGGAUUGUAACUGACGCUGAUGCUCGAAAGUGUGGGUAUCAAACAGGAUUAGAUACCCUGGUAGUCCACACAGUAAACGAUGAAUACUCGCUGUUGGCGAUAUACUGUCAGCGGCCAAGCGAAAGCAUUAAGUAUUCCACCUGGGGAGUACGCCGGCAACGGUGAAACUCAAAGGAAUUGACGGGGGCCCGCACAAGCGGAGGAACAUGUGGUUUAAUUCGAUGAUACGCGAGGAACCUUACCCGGGCUUAAAUUGCAACUGACGGAAUCGGAAACGGUUCUUUCUUCGGACAGUUGUGAAGGUGCUGCAUGGUUGUCGUCAGCUCGUGCCGUGAGGUGUCGGCUUAAGUGCCAUAACGAGCGCAACCCUUACGGGUAGUUACCAUCAGGUUAUGCUGGGGACUCUACCCGGACUGCCGUCGUAAGAUGUGAGGAAGGUGGGGAUGACGUCAAAUCAGCACGGCCCUUACGUCCGGGGCUACACACGGGUUACAAUGGGGGGUACAGAAGGCAGCUACACGGGGACGGGGGGCUAAUCCCGAAAGCCUCUCUCAGUUCGGAUGGGAGUCGGCAACCGGACUCCAGGAAGCGGGAUUCGCUGGUAAUCGGGCAUCAGCCACGGCGCGGGGAAUAGGUUCCCG